GACGUAGGGCGCGAGCGUUGUCCGGAUUUAUUGGGCGUAAAGAGCUCGUAGGCGGCUUGGUCGCGUCCGACUGGUGAAAACCCGCGGCUCAACUGCGGGCCUGCAGCCGAGUACGGGCAGGCUAGAGUUCGGUAGGGGAGCGUGGAAUUCCUGGUGUAGCGGUGAAAUGACGCAGAUAUCAGGAGGGAACACCGGUGGCGAAGGCGGGUCUCUGGGCCGAAUACGUGACGCUGGAGGAGCGAAAGCGUGGGGAGCGAACAGG
This 262-nucleotide ribosomal RNA is filed under the name uncultured bacterium. RNAcentral's name for it is "partial 16S ribosomal RNA". It matches the Rfam family "Bacterial small subunit ribosomal RNA", at positions 524 to 776 of the family's 1533-position model. The record is from RNAcentral.